Molecule: ribosomal RNA, 512 nt
Filed under: uncultured bacterium
Lineage: Bacteria
Description: partial 16S ribosomal RNA
Rfam family: Bacterial small subunit ribosomal RNA
Source: RNAcentral
GAUGAACGCUGGCGGCGUGCCUAAUACAUGCAAGUCGAACGAAACUUCUUUAUCACCGAGUGCUUGCACUCACCGAUAAAGAGUUGAGUGGCGAACGGGUGAGUAACACGUGGGCAACCUGCCCAAAAGAGGGGGAUAACACUUGGAAACAGGUGCUAACACCGCAUAACCAUAGUUACCGCAUGGUAACUAUGUAAAAGGUGGCUAUACUACCGCUUUUGGAUGGGCCCGCGGCGCAUUAGCUAGUUGGUAGGGUAAAGGCUUACCAAGGCAAUGAUGCGUAGCCGAAUUGAGAGGGUGAUCGGCCACAUUGGGACUGAGACACGGCCCAAACUCCUACGGGAGGCAGCAGUAGGGAAUCUUCCACAAUGGGCGAAAGCCUGAUGGAGCAACGCCGCGUGGGUGAAGAAGGUCUUCGGAUCGUAAAACCCUGUUGUUAGAGAAGAAAGUGCGUGAGAGUAACUGUUCACGUUUCGACGGUAUCUAACCAGAAAGCCACUGCUAACUACGUG